GCUCAGGUCACUCCGGUAAUCGGAGCGUGCUGAGUGCGAGAAUCACUCCCUGCAAGAGCUAAAAGCCGAGAACAGUGUGGGACCGACCGCGCUGGCACUUCGGAGACAGCUUGCUGCUGUGGAGAGCUGCUAAAAAUAGCCCACUCCCGGCUGACACUGGAGCCAUGGAAAAUCCUGCUCCGGAGGGGUGGCUGGGGCGCCCCUCCUGUGUCUGUGCCACCUGCUAGUGCCCAGAGGUGGGCUGGCCUGGCGGAGCUGACAAGGGCCAGCCUGCUGGGAGCCUCUUCCUCGGCCCGGGAAGACUGUAGGGAAACAGAGCUCUGACUCGCUGGCUCCUGCCUGACGGUGGAGGCGGGGGGAGGCCCAGACUUGCCUCCUGACCCUCCCACGGUUAGGAUGAGUGACGAAGUCCCCUCUGGGGCUGAGGCCUGGCCCUGGAUCAGGCUCCCGUCCUAGGAGGGCCCGGGGGAGACGAGUAGGGGACGCUCGUACCCAGCGGGGCAUUCGCGUCUGCAGCCGCCCGGAGCCGCCAGGCCACCGACUGCAGCCGUCUCCCGCUUUGCCCGAGGGCGUCCUGUUCUUGCCCCCUCGCCCCCGCCCCCCUCACAGCCUAUUCAACCCUUCCCCAGCUUGAGGCCUGCUCAUACCCGGCUUCCCUCCUCCAGAACACCCUCUGAUCCUUUUGUUCAAGGUACCAGGCCCCCCUCCAAGCGCCCGGUCCACCUCACCAUCCAGUGCUGGGGCUUCCCUUCCGCUGGCACCACCCAGGAUGCCGCGGCGCCUUGAGCAAGCUCCCGGGCGUCUCCGGCCUCCGGGAACCAAGGAGCAGGCCCCGAGGCCCGGCUGGUGGGAGCCCGUCGUGUAUCCUAUCGUGAUGUCAGCAGACCUCGCGCGAAGUCCUGGGUGGGCAGGAGAAUCGGAGACAUGGUAUUGGACGGGACCCAGUCCAGAGUAGUGGUUGACGUUCUGGAGAUGCGGAUCUGACGAACUGAGCAAGUGCCGGCAAUUUACUUACCCUCCCUGUGCCUCACUCCCUGCAUCUGUAAAAUGGGGAAGACAGUUGUUAAAAAGAAAACCAGAGGCCCCAAAUGGCUUCACGUAGGUUAAGGCCCACGUUAGUAAAACAAGUUAACCUAACUGUAGUUUGAACCCCCAGGAAUGCACCUGUAACCAGUCGACAUUUUCUGGUCAGAACUAGGAAAUUUAGUGAUUGACCCUUUCUGGUCUCCUUAGGAGGAUGACAUUACCUAAAACAAUAGGUUCUUUGCUAAAAUUUUCCUUUUUCUGCCACUGGUCUAGCUUUCUGUAACCCCUUGGAGCCCCCUCUUCUUGAUAGACCUAAUGUUGCCUGAUCCAUGAGCCAAUAAAGCAAAUUAGAAGUUUAAAAUGCACUUUGUUGGGCGGCCUGGGUGGCUCAGUGGUUUAGCACCGCCUUUAGCCCAGGGCGUGACCCCGGGGUCCCAGGAUCGAGUCCUGUGUGGAGCCUGCUUCUCCCUCUGCCUGUGUCUCUGCCUCUCUCGCUCUGUCUCUCUGUGUCUCUCAUGAAUAAAUAAAAUCUUUUAAAAAAAUGUACUCUGUUGAAUUUUUACUAUUUAACACAAUAAGAUGUUUCUUAUAUGGUUAUUGUGAGGACGUGUGUGUGUGUGUGUGUGUGUGUGUGUUGGGGGGGGUCAGAGACUGAAGCAUAGUAUUAUAUAAAUGUCAAUUGUUAUUACCAGGUCACAAACUCUUGAGAAUUCAAGAAAACAUGUAGACCCCUUUUCAGAAGAAACCUGUAUGCGGGACUUGGUACAUAAUUUCUAGGGCUAGGGUCAUGAGCUCCCCGAAGUUCAUAUGUGGAAGAACAUGACUAUAUCUAACAUGCUUUUUCCUUUUUUUUUUUUUUUUCCCAGUUGAGACUUUUAUGGUCAAAUUCAUGUAUGCAAAUAAUUGUAAAAGUGAGAAGAUAAGUGGCUGUCCUCUGUUCCCCCCCCCCCCC
This 1978-nucleotide long non-coding RNA is filed under the name Canis lupus familiaris (dog). Its description in RNAcentral is "lncRNA (ENSCAFG00030008237.1)". The record is from RNAcentral. Lineage: Eukaryota; Metazoa; Chordata; Mammalia; Carnivora; Canidae.